AGCAAUGUAACUUAGUGGAGAGAGCAUGGGCCUGGAAGUCAGAAGGACCUGGGUUCUAAUCCCAGCUUUGCUG
This 73-nucleotide transfer RNA is filed under the name Ornithorhynchus anatinus (platypus). It matches the Rfam family "tRNA". Rfam says of the family: Transfer RNA (tRNA) molecules are approximately 80 nucleotides in length. Their secondary structure includes four short double-helical elements and three loops (D, anti-codon, and T loops). The record is from Rfam by way of RNAcentral. Lineage: Eukaryota; Metazoa; Chordata; Mammalia; Monotremata; Ornithorhynchidae.